This is a long non-coding RNA of Acanthochromis polyacanthus (spiny chromis), 5392 nucleotides long. RefSeq lists it as uncharacterized. The record is from RefSeq and is a predicted model, not a curated record. Lineage: Eukaryota; Metazoa; Chordata; Actinopteri; Pomacentridae. The transcript has 5 exons.
AGCACGAGAUGCGGCCAGGGCCAGAGCGGCAGCGAGUGGCUGCAGCGCAGGCGCAGUAAGGGACUGAUUUGUUUCGAAAAAGCGAGGGAGCCAGGGGUUAGGAGGAAAGAAGACACAGGAGGAAAGAGAUCUAUCCAAGUCAAGGGGUGAGGUGCCAGUGCAGCCAAUGCGAGACAGUUUCCCUAAGACCCUACAAGGAGGAGCCAGAAGAAGCUUCUGCAGCGACUGGUACAAAUUUCAUCCCUGGUUAGAAUACUCACCAGUGUUUCCCCUACAUAAACUUUACUUGGGCGGCCCGCCCAAGUAGAUUGACACCCGCACAAGAAGAUGAAUUUAUAAAAAAAAACGCGCCGUCAUAAUUACUGGCACCGCGUAGGGAAAACAGUCCACCUGUCUGUCUCUCACUGGGUUGUCAGGCGCGCGCGUGUGUAUUCCGCCAGCCCGACCCACCUUGUUAAGCGCUCAUUAGCUCGACACCACCGGCAGAGUUGCACAGCCCUGCUUGUUCAAGUGUCUCAGAGGUAAGAUGAAGCCACAGUGGUCCAAGAGUGGCUGUCAUUCAAGGAGCAUGUGUCUUCAGGAGCAUUUAAGUACAAAAGCCAAGGAGCAAUCCUGGAACUGCUGGCCAGUGAGUACGAUGAAUGGGGUGACGUCUACCCCUGCCUGUCCCAACUUGCUGCUGCAGCCCUCAUCAUCCCAGUGGCAAGUGUAAAUUGUGAGAGAGAUUUCUCAGCAAUGAACAGGUUCAAAACUGAACUGAGGAACAGGCUGCAAGGGGAGCAUCUUGCUGCAUGCAUGCGCAUCAGCAUAAAUGGACCUGACCCCCAAUCCUUUCCAUACAGAAAGGCAUUGGAGAUCUUUUUUUCAAAACAGAGAAAAAUACACUGAUCUGACAAAAACUGUCAGCUUUGCAAGUAGCUAUAAAUAGCUUUUUUUCCUUUUUUUUCCUUUUUCUUUUGGGUUCUGUUUGUGUUAAAGCAAGUCUGCAGCAGGCUUAAGUUGUAUCUAUGUGCAAUAAAUUACACAUGGUUCAUAAACCAGUUUGACUAGAUUAUUUUGAAUGCACUUAUCAAACACCGCAAAGUCCCCCUCCACCGCCCGGCCCACCACCACAAGUAAAUCAACCUAGGGGAAGCACUGCUCACAAUCAAAAGAUGCAGCUUACUGUUUUGCAUGUUGGCGUUUUUCCCUUCCGGAUGCUCCAAAGACUGUUUUCACCUCUUUCGAGGGUUAUCGCAACUGGAAAAAGGCUACAAUGAAAGACAGUGGCUUCUGUUCUCAUGCCAGAUCUGAAGGACAUUUAAAUGCAAUGUUUGCAUGGACCGAGAACAAGAAAAUUCAGGAUAAAAAUACCUCAAUGUUUGGACUAAUGGAUGAGCAAAACAAGAAGCAGGUGGCUGAAAAUCAGUACGACAUUAGAACAUUAGCUGAAAUUUUAGUUCUAACAGCCCCAGAAAACAUAGCACUGUGGGGUCACAAGGAGUCUCUCAACUCCAAUAAAAAGGGUGUUUUUCUGUCUAUGUUAGACUUGCUGGGUAAGCAUAACCCCAUCAUUAAAAAAAGACUUCAACAACAAGCUAAAAAUGCACAUUAUACCAGUAAAACAAUACAGAAUGAAUUACCUGAGUGCUUGGCUGCAAUGGUCAAAGAGGAAAUCAUCCAGGAAGUUAAAACAAGCAAGCAGUUUUCAGUUAUUGUUGAUGAAACUUCAAACUAAAGAUGUUCAGAAAAAAGAACAAAUGUCAUUUGUUCUGAGAUAUUUUUACAACGGUGUGGUUCAUGAGAGCUUUCUGGAGUUCGAUGUGGCAGAACACUUGGAUGCUGCUGCCUUAAGUGACAAGAUUAUAUGCUUUCUUAAGAAGCAUUGGUUGGAGUACAAGCAAAACCUUGUAGGCCAGGGCUAUGAUGGUGCGGCAGUGAUGUGUGGGGCACAUGCAGGUGUUCAAGCAAAAAUAAAAGAAGUAGCUAAACAUGCCUUCUAUGUUCACUGUAGUGCACACUGCUUGAACUGAGUUAUAGUAGACACUGUAAAAAGUGUAGCAGAUGCAGGAAACUUAUUCUCAUUAUUAGAACGACUGUAUGUAUUCAUGUCUGGGUCAUAUGUGCAUAACAAAUGGCUGGAAGUGCAGCGGGAGAUGUUUGAUGGUGCACCAAGGGAGCUCCAACAGCUAAGUGAUACAUGUUGGGCCUGUAGGCACAUAGCAUGUCGCAAUGUUAUGGACAGGUUGCCUACAAUAGUACAGGUGCUUGAGGAGCUCGCGUCUGAGAACCAUCCACAAAGAGCUGUUGAAGCAAGAGGGAUAUUUGCUCAGAUUGAUCUGAAUUUUGAUGGAUCUCUUGUUCUGUUCAGGAAGGUCCUGAGUGACUCCAAAUUUUUAUCAGACAUGCUCCAGUCUAAAACAGUGGACUAUGCUCAGGCUGUUGAACUUAUUGAAGCACUUAAAGAGACACUAGUCCAGUACCGUAGUCAAGCCUCUUUUGAGGAAAUGUGGAGUGAAAUUCUUGAUUUGUAUCAACAAAGUAACAUCGAUACAACUCAAAGAAAACCAAAGAGGCCAAGACAGACAACAAAGGUGCUUCAGGAUACUGUCAUCCACUCCACCUUGGGACAGCAUGUAGUUUCAGAUAGCAAACACACUUUUUGAGUCUCUGUGUACUAUCCAGUUCUGGAUAACAUGUUUGGAGAAAUAGAAGAUUUUCUAACUUGAAUUGUAAAAUUAUGCAGGGUGUCCAGGCACUAAAUCCAUCAAGUCCAAGUUUUUUGAGAGAGGAAGCUGUUCUGUUACUGGCUGAAGCUUAUGAUUCAAAUAUUGAGGAUCUCAUGCAUGAGUUACAUCAGACCAGGAGAGUACUAGACAGAAAAAAGCUGGAAAAAGAGAGUCCUACCACUCUAAAGGAGUUCACUCAGUUUUUGGACCCAUACCAGGAUGUUUUUUGAGUUGUUCAGAUUGUGUAAAAUAGCGGUUGUUUUACCUGUGAGCAGUGCAUCCUGUGAGCAAAGUUUUUCAUCUCUCAGGCUCAUAAAGAAUUAUUUGCGGUCUCCUAUGACAGAAAAGAGACUAUCGAGUUUGGCUGUACUCAGCAUUGAAUUCAAAACGCACAAAAGCAUUAGAUCUAGAUACAUUUGUGAAGUGUUUUGCUGAGCAGCAUGGAAAUCGCCGCAUUCAGCUGUUACAGGCAUGCCAACUUCAUGUUAUGCUCACUGUUAAGCCUUUACAAAGGUGUUAAAUGGUGACCUCAACAGAAUCUGCACUAUUUUCUUUUUUCUGUAUUUAUAUCUUUGUUUUGCCAACUGAGAAAAUCUGAUAUCACCUUUAAUAAAACCUAGUGUAAAGUUUAAAAUGUGACACUAGUGUAAAUGGUGUAAAUCCUGCUGAACAGGAAGCAGUGUUGUUAUUAUUUUUAAUGUCUCUUUUGUAUAUGCAUUAUAAAACUGUACAGAAAGGCCCUGUGUGAACUGUAUGAAGUAAAUACAACAUCAAAAUAAUCACUAAACACCUCAUCUAUCAAAAAAAAAAUAUUUCAAACUACAGAGGGAGAAAUGGAGAGAAUGUGUGUUCAGUUAAGAGUAAAAGUGAUGUCCAGUACCUUGUUUGAGUGCCAGGACCCAUUUAUUUCCACACAGUGUAUUUAUACUCACCUUAGUACAGCUCAGUCCAUAGAUCUUCAUGUGUAAGUUUUUCUCUAAAUGGUUUUUUUCUUGUACAAAUUGUGCCUGCAAUGCUGCCACUCUGACACAGUCAAAAAGUGUUUGCUUUCUUUAAUGCCUUUCCUGUGAUAAUGCCCCACUUACAGUAGUGUUACCACACAUCUAUCUCCUAAUAAGUACUGUAUGAACUGUUUCACAUGAAACUUCAAGUGACAUUAAAUUUGUCUGUAUGAGUUUGUAAAUGGAAGCCUGUACCCAUAUAUAGUGUGUACAUACUAUUUCUCAUCAAACUAUUAAAUUCGGUGUGUGUAUAUAUAUAUAUAUAUAUAUAUAUAUAUAUAUAUAUAUAUACACACGCAUGUAAGCGUCUCUAAAGAUCAUGAAACCGAGUGUAACAGAACUUUUGCAAAGCCCGGUAAAGGCAUUUGAUUUGAGAUGCUGAUAUGAAUUUGGCUCCAAGACUUUUUGCAUCAAGGAAAGUCAUAGAAUGCAAUGUGUUCAGAAAAAUGCAACUUUGGCUUGAAAGGCUUGAGAACAAAAGAACAAACAACAGAGAGGACUGGGCUAAAUUAAAAAAAACAAAAAACUUUUAAAGUGGGCUUUUCAUGAGAACUGAAAUUGAAACUGGCUUCUUUUAUGAUGACUUAAAGAAACAAAUAACACAACUUGAAACUAGAGCUUUGGUUUCCUAUAUUUUACUUAAAAUUUGACUUCUUAAUUUAAAUAACUACAACAGCAUGAAUAUUCUCUUGAUAACUAUGAGCUUCGACUCUUAGUGUUUUUACUUCAGUACACUUUUGCAACACAAACCUGCCAAAGUUCCUCCUUUUCUCUGCGUUCCUGAACCAACUCAUCCAGCAGAUCAUCUCAGCUCCACAUCCUGCAGCCGCCUCCAUCUCUCUCCUAAAGGUUUUGCAAGUAUCACUUUCUUUCUUCUAAGCGGGUGAAUUCAUGAAUUACAAUUGGUUUUCCAAUUCGAGAAUGAUUAUAAAUUCGUCAGCUUUCUCCCAGCUGCUUCCAGUGAAAACACACUUCAUUAGUUUAUCUGUAUUCAUUUAUUUAUUCCCUGUCUGUUGUCUGUUGUUUGUUCAUAGUAUUAGUUUAUAAAUGUUUGUGCACAGUUGUCAUUGGUUCUACCGUGUAUUUCUCUGUUUAUUAACAGGAAGUCAGUGAAAUCAGAACUUAAGACUUUCAGAUAACAGACUGAUCAACUUCAUUUUUAUCAAAGUCUCUUUCUCAGGUAAGCUGAGAGAGGUGCCCCUAAAUAAAUGAGUGUAAUUUCAAUCAUAAAGUGUAGUUUCUACCAUUAGGUGUGUUACAGCCUACACUUUAAUCCUACAGUAUUGUUUGGUUCCCAUGUACGAAGCUAUUUCUGCAACAUUUUGUUAUAUUAGCAUUAAUCAAAAAAAAAAAAACAGUAAAAAUAUAAAAACAGAUUCUGAACAACAGCAAGGCUACACAGACAAAACUAGAUGGAUACAGAACAGUAAGUGCAUGUAUCUUACACUGUUAAUUUAUUGUUACAGUUUUUUCCAUUUACAUGCUUAAUGUGAUCACACAACUUAGUACUGUUAAUGCCAUGUCAUACUAUAGACACCCAAACCACUCAAAAUGCAUUUUACUGCUUCUUUUGCACUUACAGUUAUGAGCUGAACUGCUUUUGUCUUUAUACUUGGACUCUGUGUAUGUAUGUGUAUUUUCAUUAGCUGUGUAAUGAAAAUAAAGUUAAUUGGAGCUAGUUAA